This 497-nucleotide ribosomal RNA is filed under the name uncultured bacterium. Its description in RNAcentral is "partial 16S ribosomal RNA". It matches the Rfam family "Bacterial small subunit ribosomal RNA", at positions 36 to 507 of the family's 1533-position model. The record is from RNAcentral.
UCUUCCCUCUGGCGGCGUGCCUAAUACAUGCAAGUCGAGCGAACGGACGAGAAGCUUGCUUCUCUGAUGUUAGCGGCGGACGGGUGAGUAACACGUGGAUAACCUACUUAUAAGACUGGGAUAACUUCGGGAAACCGUAGCUAAUACCGGAUAAUAUUUUGAACCGCAUGGUUCAAAAGUGAAAGACGGUCCUGCUGUCACUUAUAGAUGGAUCCGCGCUGCAUUAGCUAGUUGGUAAGGUAACGGCUUACCAAGGCAACGAUGCAUAGCCGACCUGAGAGGGUGAUCGGCCACACUGGAACUGAGACACGGUCCAGACUCCUACGGGAGGCAGCAGUAGGGAAUCUUCCGCAAUGGGCGAAAGCCUGACGGAGCAACGCCGCGUGAGUGAUGAAGGUCUUCGGAUCGUAAAACUCUGUUAUUAGGGAAGAACAUAUGUGUAAGUAACUGUGCACAUCUUGACGGUACCUAAUCAGAAAGCCACGGCUAACUACGUG